RNAcentral lists this ribosomal RNA (473 nucleotides) under uncultured delta proteobacterium. RNAcentral describes it as "bacterial SSU rRNA". It matches the Rfam family "Bacterial small subunit ribosomal RNA", at positions 400 to 863 of the family's 1533-position model. The record is from RNAcentral. Lineage: Bacteria; Deltaproteobacteria.
CGUGAGUGAUGAAGGCUUUCGGGUCGUAAAGCUCUGUCAAGUGGGAAGAACCUGCUUGAUGCCAAUGCCAUCAGGCACUGACGGUACCACUGAAGGAAGCACCGGCUAACUCCGUGCCAGCAGCCGCGGUAAGACGGAGGGUGCAAGCGUUAUUCGGAAUUACUGGGCGUAAAGGGCGCGCAGGCGGCCCCUUAAGUCAGGCGUGAAAGCCCGGGGCUAAACUCCGGAAGGGCGUCUGAAACUAAGGAGCUCGAGUACGGGAGAGGGAAGUGGAAUUCCUGGUGUAGAGGUGAAAUUCGUAGAUAUCAGGAGGAACACCGGUGGCGAAGGCGACUUCCUGGACCGAUACUGACGCUGAGGCGCGAAAGCGUGGGGAGCGAACAGGAUUAGAGACCCUGGUAGUCCACGCCGUAAACGAUGAACACUAGGUGUAGCGGGUAUUGACUCCUGCUGUGCCGCAGCUAACGCAUUAA